RNAcentral lists this ribosomal RNA (113 nucleotides) under Acanthosepion pharaonis. Lineage: Eukaryota; Metazoa; Mollusca; Cephalopoda; Sepiida; Sepiidae. The record is from RNAcentral.
UACAGCCAUAUCACAUUGAAACAACAGUUCCUGUAUGAUCACCGAAGUUAAGCAACAUUGAGCCUGGUUAGUAUCUCGAUGGGUAACUACUUGGGAAUACCAGGUGCUGUAAG